GUAAUUUUAGUUUAAUAAAAACAUUAGAUUGUGAUUCUAAUAAUGGAAGAUUCUACCUUCCCAAUUACC
RNAcentral lists this transfer RNA (69 nucleotides) under Orycteropus afer (aardvark). RNAcentral's name for it is "transfer RNA-His". It matches the Rfam family "tRNA". From Rfam's summary of the family: Transfer RNA (tRNA) molecules are approximately 80 nucleotides in length. Lineage: Eukaryota; Metazoa; Chordata; Mammalia; Tubulidentata; Orycteropodidae. RNAcentral also lists the same sequence under 1 other name. The record is from RNAcentral.